CCUACGGGAGGCAGCAGUGAGGAAUAUUGGACAAUGGGCGCAAGCCUGAUCCAGCCAUGCCGCGUGCAGGAUGACGGUCCUAUGGAUUGUAAACUGCUUUUGCACAGGAAGAAACAACGCUACGUGUAGCGUCUUGACGGUACUGUGAGAAUAAGGAUCGGCUAACUCCGUGCCAGCAGCCGCGGUAAUACGGAGGAUCCAAGCGUUAUCCGGAAUCAUUGGGUUUAAAGGGUCCGUAGGCGGUUUAGUAAGUCAGUGGUGAAAGCCCAUCGCUCAACGGUGGAACGGCCAUUGAUACUGCUAGACUUGAAUUAUUAGGAAGUAACUAGAAUAUGUAGUGUAGCGGUGAAAUGCUUAGAGAUUACAUGGAAUACCAAUUGCGAAGGCAGGUUACUACUAAUUGAUUGACGCUGAUGGACGAAAGCGUGGGUAGCGAACAGGAUUAGAUACCCUGGUAGUCCACGCCGUAAACGAUGGAUACUAGCUGUUGGGAGCAAUUUCAGUGGCUAAGCGAAAGUGAUAAGUAUCCCACCUGGGGAGUACGUUCGCAAGAUGAAACGUCAAAGGAAUUGACGG
Molecule: ribosomal RNA, 576 nt
Filed under: uncultured bacterium
Lineage: Bacteria
Description: bacterial SSU rRNA
Rfam family: Bacterial small subunit ribosomal RNA
Source: RNAcentral